AGCUCCAGUGGUGUAUAUUAAAGUUGUUGCGGUUAAAAAGCUCGUAGUUGUAUGUUACUUGCCAUCGUCAAACCAUGGCUAAUGAUUUUCUCAUCAGAGAAAAAAUUGUAAUUUUGAAAAAAUUUGAAUGUUUAAAAAUAGCAGUUAUAUUUUAGCAUGAUAUUACUCAUAGGCAGUUGCUCGGUGUAGUGAAACAGGCGACUGCUUUAAAAUAGGAGUGAUAUAUGUUACUCGUACUCGGCGAUUAGAGGUGAAAUUCUAUGACUCGCCGACGACGCACCAAGGCGAAAGCUUGUAUCAGGAGCAUAUCCA
RNAcentral lists this ribosomal RNA (312 nucleotides) under uncultured eukaryote. RNAcentral describes it as "partial small subunit ribosomal RNA". It matches the Rfam family "Eukaryotic small subunit ribosomal RNA", at positions 587 to 972 of the family's 1831-position model. The record is from RNAcentral.